RNAcentral lists this unclassified non-coding RNA (240 nucleotides) under soil metagenome. Its description in RNAcentral is "partial contains 5.8S ribosomal RNA, internal transcribed spacer 2, and large subunit ribosomal RNA". The record is from RNAcentral.
AACAUCGCGCACCUGCGGGAACCUGCGGAAGGAUCAUUAAUGAUUGGUGGCUGUUGCUGACUAGUGUUUCUAGUAUGUGCACGCCACACCUUCAAUCCCACUUACACCUGUGCACCUUCUGUAAUAGAUCUAUGUGGAUACGGAGAUGUGAAAGUUUGCGCUCUCCUACUCUGUUGAGGCAGUCUACUACGUUUUUUUACACACACACACACAAUAGUCAUUGAAUGUAUUUUUUAUUCU